UUAGAAUAUUAAAAGUAAAGGGGGAAACCUGGUCAUUUGUACAACUGAACUCAUUCAACUGAAAUGUGUCUUCCCCAUUUAACACAACCCCUCUGAAUCAGAGAGGUGCGGGGGGCUGCCAUAAUCGACAUCCACGUCUUUGGCGCCCGAGAUGCACCCUAGGAAUAUCCCUUCAGGGAUCUUGUUAUAACAGACCUGGGUUCAAAUACAUAGUGUACUUAAGUAUUUGACAUUUUGUGUUUGAGUAUUUUUUAAUACACAGCCAAAAACUACAUCAAAUAAAAACAACAAGUAGUUGUAAAUACAUGCCACUUGAAACAUAGGUGCAGUUAAUGACCGGUGCAGUUAAUGACAUGACCAGACUUCUGACAUGGAAACAUAAACAAUACUAUCUGAUGACAAAAGAGUGCUAUAUAAAGGGUAGGUAAUCAAGGGAGUAAUGAAGUCCAGGUGUGACUGAUGAGUCGCAAGUGUGCGCAAUGAUGGUUGCCAUGUGUGAAUAAAGAUGGGUUGCCAUGUGUACAUAAUGAUGGGUUGCCAGGUGUGCAUAAAGAUGGGUUGCCAUGUGUACAUAAUGAUGGGUUGCCAGGUGUGCAUAAAGAUGGGUUGCCAGGUGUGCAUAAAGAUGGGUUGCCAUGUGUGCAUAAUGAUGGUUGCCAGGUGUGCAUAAUGAUGGGUUGCCAGGUGUGCAUAAAGAUGGUUGCCUGGUGUGCAUAAUGAUGGUUGCCAUGUGUGCAUAAUGUCGGUUGCCAGGUGUGCAUAAUGAGGAGUUGCCAUGUGUGCAUAAUGAUGGUUGCCAGUUGUGCAUAAAGAUGGGUUGCCAUGUGUACAUAAUGAUGGGUUGCCAGGUGUGCAUAAAGAUGGGUUGCCAGGUGUGCAUAAAGAUGGGUUGCCAUGUGUGCAUAAUGAUGGUUGCCAGGUAUA
Molecule: long non-coding RNA, 924 nt
Organism: Oncorhynchus masou masou (cherry salmon)
Lineage: Eukaryota; Metazoa; Chordata; Actinopteri; Salmoniformes; Salmonidae
Exons: 3
Source: RefSeq, a predicted model, not a curated record